Molecule: ribosomal RNA, 877 nt
Filed under: uncultured bacterium
Lineage: Bacteria
Description: bacterial SSU rRNA
Rfam family: Bacterial small subunit ribosomal RNA
Source: RNAcentral
CAGGAUGAACGCUGGCGGCGCGCCUAACACAUGCAAGUCGAACGGCACCCAUCUUCGGAUGGAAGCGAGUGGCGAACGGCUGAGUAACACGUGGAGAACCUGCCCCCUCCCCCGGGAUAGCCGCCCGAAAGGACGGGUAAUACCGGAUACCCCGGGGUGCCGCAUGGCACCCCGGCUAAAGCCCCGACGGGAGGGGAUGGCUCCGCGGCCCAUCAGGUAGACGGCGGGGUGACGGCCCACCGUGCCGACAACGGGUAGCCGGGUUGAGAGACCGACCGGCCAGAUUGGGACUGAGACACGGCCCAGACUCCUACGGGAGGCAGCAGUGGGGAAUCUUGCGCAAUGGGGGGAACCCUGACGCAGCGACGCCGCGUGCGGGACGGAGGCCUUCGGGUCGUAAACCGCUUUCAGCAGGGAAGAGUCAAGACUGUACCUGCAGAAGAAGCCCCGGCUAACUACGUGCCAGCAGCCGCGGUAAUACGUAGGGGGCGAGCGUUAUCCGGAUUCAUUGGGCGUAAAGCGCGCGUAGGCGGCCCGGCAGGCCGGGGGUCGAAGCGGGGGGCUCAACCCCCCGAAGCCCCCGGAACCUCCGCGGCUUGGGUCCGGUAGGGGAGGGUGGAACACCCGGUGUAGCGGUGGAAUGCGCAGAUAUCGGGUGGAACACCGGUGGCGAAGGCGGCCCUCUGGGCCGAGACCGACGCUGAGGCGCGAAAGCCGGGGGAGCGAACAGGAUUAGAUACCCUGGUAGUCCCAGCCGUAAACGAUGGACGCUAGGUGUGGGGGGACGAUCCCCCCGUGCCGCAGCCAACGCAUUAAGCGUCCCGCCUGGGGAGUACGGCCGCAAGGCUAAAACUCAAAGGAAUUGACGGAAGGGCGA